GUGGCUCAGGACGAACGCUGGCGGUGUGCUUCACACAUGCAAGUCGAACGAGGUAGCAAUACCUAGUGGCGGACGGGUGAGUAACGCGUGGGAAUCUGCCUUGAGAUGGGGGAUAACGAGCCGAAAGGCUCGCUAAUACCGCAUAUGCCGAAAGGUGAAAGGAGUAAUCCGUCUUAAGAUGAGCCCGCGUCCGAUUAGCUAGUUGUGGGGUAAAGGCCUACCAAGGCGACGAUCGGUAGCUGGUCUGAGAGGAUGAUCAGCCACAAUGGGACUGAGACACGGCCCAUACUCCUACGGGAGGCAGCAGUGGGGAAUUUUACGCAAUGGGGAAACCCUGACGUAGCGACACCGCGUGAGCGAAGAAGCCCUUUGGGGUGUAAAGCUCUGUCAGCUGGAACGAAAAAAUGACGGUACCAGCAGAGGAAGCAUCGGCUAACUACGUG
Molecule: ribosomal RNA, 443 nt
Filed under: uncultured bacterium
Lineage: Bacteria
Description: bacterial SSU rRNA
Rfam family: Bacterial small subunit ribosomal RNA
Source: RNAcentral